This 5546-nucleotide small RNA is filed under the name Rattus norvegicus (Norway rat). RNAcentral's name for it is "uncharacterized LOC108351955". Lineage: Eukaryota; Metazoa; Chordata; Mammalia; Rodentia; Muridae. The record is from RNAcentral.
GGCUGGGACACAGCAGAAGUACAGUUGGUACUGGAAGCAGGCGCUGAGUUCCUAUGGAACAAUCCAGGUUACUUCAGUUUGGGGCUCUGCCAAGAAAGUGGGAGCUGCCCCCAAGUCUCCCCCCAGCCCUCACCACUCCCCUGAUAUCCUGUCUGAAUUCCUUGCUAUCUGCUGAGCUCUCAGGGUCAAGCUGUCUCCACCGUAAGCUGACCUCCAUCAUGACACCCUCCCCCGCUUCUGAUCGGCAGGGACUCUUCCACCUCUAAAAGGGAAGACGUUGGGUGGUAACUCCAUGCCGGGGGGUUGGGGUGGGGUCUGUAGGGGAACUCCAGGGCAUUGGAAUGAAGCCGCAGUUUGUUACACGCAGACUCUCACCAUUGCCCGGUGGCCAGCUGUCUCUAAUUGUCCGCAAGUCCCUACGAUCCAGUCUCCCAGACCUCCUGGAAUCAGGUCAUGCUCAGUGGGGACCCCCGUCCUCCCAUCCCAUCUCUUGGCGGUUUCCACUCACUCUCCCCACCCGCAGCCCCUUCUGGCCCCCUUUCUAUUCCUCCAUACCCCCUUUGCCUCUGGUCCUGUCCCCUCUCCCCCCCUUCUCCCUGCUUCCCUGCCUGCCUCCUUCUCUGCCCGGCUGCAGUUGGGUGAUAAUCUCCCUCAUUUAGCCUCCCGGCUGCUUCCCCGGCUCAUUGCCCAGCUGGUCCCUGGGGCCCGGCCCAGUUUCUUCCCCACCCCCACCCCCAUCCCUGCGCCCAAGCUCCCUCAGCCUUUCCCUGUUUCUCUCACCCAUUCCCUAGGGACCAGCUGCCCCCUCGGGGGCGGGAGUGGGGUGGGGAAGCAGGGCCGAGGGGAGCUGGCUAGGACCUGAGCUAGCUGUGAGCUAGUAGGAGGGGCUGCCAGCGACCCCGGAGUUUGGAGUGUGGGGAGGGGCUACGGUCCCGGCAGAAUGUGGGCCCCACUCCGGCUCCUCUGCCCUCCAGUUAUCCCCAUUUCUCAGAUGUGUUCACCGCCCAGUUCUCCCCGCCCUGAGAUUCGAAAUAAGCUUCCUGAAACUGAGAAAGAGCAGGUUAGCGAGAGAGGGAGGCAAAGGUCAGAGUGCAUCCGGUUAGGCAAGCCCGGGAAAAGGGUGGAGACAACAGGGAGGUCAGGAUGGAUUAGUCAGAGAUAUUGGGAAGAAACUUGGAAGUUUUACAUGAGCAAAAUGUCUCUCCAAAGGGAGACCCGAGACUCCGGUACAGAACCUGAAGGGUUUCCCAGGGAACCUCUUAACAGUCCAGGGACUCCCCCAAAGGAAGCCUUUUCUGUUCUUUCCUGUCGUUUGAGGGCUCCUGACUCCCCUGGCUGGCUGGCUAGCUUCAUAAACCACACAACCUUUGAACUCCUAAGGAGCAUUCUAUAGAUCGAGUCCCCAGCCUCCAGAUCCCAAGGGACACCUCCUUGACACCCGCCGCAGCUCAGAAACCAGGACCUGGUGCUGACCAGGGGGUGGGAAGCCAGUGUGGGACACAUGUGGGCAGGGAGGGACAAGGAUGGGGGGGGGGGGUGAGUGCCUGGCCAGGCCUGGCUGGCGAGCGAGCAGCAGUGACAAACGGGCUGUGCGGGGGCCGAGGGGCGGGGGGCGGACGGCGGCUGAUUUAUCUGGGUUAUUUAUGCCACGGACGAGGCAGGAGAAGCGGUUAAUGAGAGUCCCGGCGAAGGGGGAUGGGAAGGACCGGACGUGAUCUGAGGCAACUGAAGAGGGUUAGCGUCCCAUCGCCAGGCCCUGCCCCCACUGUCACCAGUACUCUGCACCCCCACAGGGCCCUCCCUGGGCUAUCCCUGGGAAGCAUCCGCUCCUCUGCCUUGCGCUCACACAAUCUAUCCCUACUUGGGUAUUCUCAAGCGGAGGUCAUCGGUCACCAGGAAUGGAGAGGGUGGGAUUGAAGCUUAGGGAAAUCCUGGAGGAACUAGGGAGGGGACGUGGAAGGGGAGGGCGGAAGAAGAAAGAUACACAUCCUGACUGGCUGGAAACGGACGAAGUUUAAGGGGUCAGUGGAGAGGGCUGAGGUAGAAGAGGGAGGGUGGGAGUAGGUAGGCAGCCCACAGACCCUGAGCAGACGCUAGAGACAGGGCAAAGGGCCUUUAGGCACUAAUCUGGUGUCAGACAGGGAGCCCCGAGAUGGGGGUCUGAGUGACAGAGAGGCUAGGCAGGAGGUGGCGCUGGUCGGAGAGCAGAGAGAACAGGAAGGAGGGAGAGAAGAUCCAGGGAAGGAGGGGGAGAGGGCUUUGCUGCAGCGAAAGCUGCUGGGAGCAGAUAAGGCAGCACGGCAGCAGGAGGGAUUAAAGCUCCGAGGGGCAUGGGGGGGUGGUGCCGAGUGGGAUGAUGGGAGGGGGCAGGGAGGAGAGGGUUGAGGGCAAGACACCGGCCACAGAGAUGAGCAGGGAAAGGAGAUCUUUGAGGAGGCAGGUUUAAUCAGGGGCUAUUAACUAGGAGAGGAGAAAGAAGAAAACUCUUGAUCAUCCGUUCUGGGAAGGAGGACUUUCCGGUCAUGAACGUUUCUACACCCUACACAUGCCUGGGGUGGCAAAGCUAAGCCAAGCGAUGAACCGGAGAGGGUAGAGGACUGCCAGAUAAUAGGGUUGGCAGAGGCUGGCCCCUGGAGCCGCUCAGAACGGAUUUGGAGCUACUGAGGGCACACAGCGCCGCCUUGCGGUGGCCAGUGGAACACGAGAGUCACAGGAAUAGGUCCACUGGCAUAGACCCUCACCUGACUAGGGUAGGCCUCCUUACGGGGAGGGGUACAAUCUUGGAAAAGGAGUAAGUUGCUACCCGGGAUGGGUUCCCAAGGCAUCCCUUACCAUCCCUUGACCUACUAGAAAGGUGUUCUUGGUGCCAAUGAAACCCCUUGCUCCCCUAAACCUAGCCUAGGAUAGUUCAGAGAUGGCUUGGUGACAGAAGGCAGCCUUAGUGGGAAGAAAAGGAAAGAGAGGGGGGUGCGGGAGGGGAGCGGAGGUGGCAGGCGGGGCCGGGUAAUUGCGUGUUUGCCAGUUCUCAGUCUCUGCACACAGGGAGCGUGUGUUGGUGGGUGUUGCUUCCCUUUGAGGAGUGUCUGUUGGCAGAGGUGUCAGUGUGUCUAUCUCAGGGGUCUGGGCUCUCCUUGGUUCCCACCCCCUUUUUGUUUUGGGGAGUAUGGCUCUGGGCACACCCAGCUGUGUUCCGUGCUGAUGCGGCAGAUGUGGCGGGCCCCAGCUGUGCCUGCUUCCCAGAGAGGGGGAGGAGGCUGCAAUCUGCUCCCCCAUAAUAGCUGCUAAGUGCCAGGGGGAGGGGCUCUGAUAGAGGUAGGAUUGGGACCUGGGCAGCCCCAACAGGACGGAAGUGAGAGGGAGCACCGACUCCCUCAGCCCCACUCUGACCAGUCCCCCCAACCCUAGCCAGUGUUCUUGGCUCUCUGUCUCUAUCUUGCUUGCUCCUGAAGCCCAUCCAAAUUUCUCUCCAUACUCAGUCCCUGUCCUCAGCUCUCCUUCCCUGUCACCCCAUCCAGCUUGAUGCCAGGGACCCACCCCCCCUCCCUGGCCCCCAGCUCGCUCCCCUUCACUGAUUUCACAGAAUAAUCUUUUUAUGGAAACCAGGAAAAAAAGCACUAAUGGCAGGAGCGCACCCCUCCCCCGCAUCCCUCCCCCUGCUCACCCCCCCCACUUCCCACCCUAGUUGCUUCUGAUUUCUCUCUUCUCAAACCCACCCCUGAACCAGCACCCUCCUAUACCCUACACCUCUAUGAGGCUAAUGAAGGUUGGGUGCAGGUCCCCAAAGGAGCAGAUAAGGGGACUCCCUGCUACCCCUCUCCAGACAGGGUGCUCCCACAUCUUGGGCUGUGAGCUGCCCCCUUAGACAGUUGGGGCUUUGGCUUCUCCCAAUGCAGAGGAGUGCUCGGAAGGACUGAGGGUGUCACCCCCUCACCCUUAAGACACUUUGCACCUGUGACCCCCCCCCCCCAGCCUGGGCAAUGUGUUGAAUGUUUCAGCUUCCCUACUCCACACCACCUUCAAACACUGACCCUCUCCCCUUCCAGAGCCUCUUGCCAUCACGUCUCCACCCCCACUGGGUCUAGGAGGGGGGUCCGGGGGGCCAGGGCCUGACACAGACUUAUUGGAUUUCACGGUGUUUUGCUGAGAAAAUAAUUAAAUUAUCAUAUUUAUGAUGGAGCUGCCAUGGCCUCUGCCAACCACUUGGAACAGAAGGGUCAGGGUAGGGGGAGGAGAGGAAAGGGACCCAUAGCCUGGCCUUGUGGUCCAACCCUCUCCUGGCCCCUUCCUUAGGGAGCUGACCCCAGGCUGAAUGGGUCUGCAACUCUGCUGAUGGUUGCAGACAUGACAGUUGUCUGGGUUGGAGGCAGGCUGGGAAGAAACUAGAGAAAGAGGCUAUGGAGGUUACAGGUUAGAAUUGCUAAGACCUUGGGCCACCUCCCAUGGGCCAUCCAGCCCUCGUGACAUGGGAGGUCAUCUCUAGGGCAGUCCCCAGGUCAGCCUUGGUCCAGUUCCCAUAUUUCUUUUUAACUGCCUGCCUAGGAAACUAUGAAAUCCUGAGCUCUGUCCCAGCCCCUGGUGUUGACAACAAGGUCCUGACACCCUGCUGCCUGCCACCCAAGCCGGCUGCCAGGACCCCCUCCUGCCUCCCACCCAAACCCUGCCCCCCUAUUCUCUUCGGGUAAUUAGAUUCCUCUCAAUUAGCAGAUUACGAUCAUUACCAGCUCAUCUGGCAACUAAACUCAGCACCCACAGCUGUGGAAAGGGGGGUGCCAAGAGGGGCACACUCGGGUCAUGGGCAAACAUGGAGAUGUGGAGAGCAGGGCUAGGACCCACCAGGUAUCAGACUGCCAGGAGGUAAAGGGGCCUAUUCUAAAUCAGACCUCUGACAGGGGAGGGAGACGGAUUCUGGAAGACCCCUGGGUAGGGCCAAAACCCCCAACUCCCCAAAGCCAGCCUGGGAGCAGAUGGAGCUGGCAAAGCGUUAAACAGGCCAGGGCUGGGUCUUGGCGUGGAGCUGAGGAGAGCAGGCUGCUGGGUGUUCAGCCUGGGUCCAAGCCUCCCAGCAAGUGUGCCCACUGAAAUCCUUCAGCUUUCAGCAUUCUGGAAAGCCAGGCCCAGGGAGGCAGGCAAGCAAGCAGGGUGAAGGUCGUGGGGGCCAGCAGGCCAGGGAGCCUGGAGGGCCUUCCUCUAAAACAGCUAGUGCAGAAGGCUGAGGAAGUGGGAGGGGGAGAUUUACCAAGACUCCGAAUUCAUUAUUCAUGAGCCAGCAGCGACGACUCCAAUUUAAAUGCUAAUGUGGGGGGUCCUGACUCAGCUGCCCCUCUUGUACCUCCACCCCCAGCCCAGGCACAAGCGGAGUCCAAGCUGGCUCCAAGGUUCACAGGGGUUUAUUUGGGGGUGGGGAGGGAGGCCAGGUGUCCCCAGCCACACACAUGGCUCCCUAUGAGGUGGCUUCCUCAGGUCCUUUCUGGACAGAGCUGGUCAGGCAGGCGGCAUCCCACAGGAGAGUGGGUGGAGUCCUUGGGCAGCACCUCACAGAAUGAUUU